RNAcentral lists this non-coding RNA (82 nucleotides) under Actinospica robiniae. The record is from RNAcentral. Lineage: Bacteria; Bacillati; Actinomycetota; Actinomycetes; Catenulisporales; Actinospicaceae.
CAGGAAUCCGGUGCGAAUCCGGAACGGUCCCGCCACUGUCAGCCCCCGUACGCCGAGCGCGUCGCGGGCGAGUCAGGAACUG